CCGUAGGUGAACCUGCGGAGGGAUCAUUACCGAGUUUACAACUCCCAAACCCCUGUGAACAUACCUUAAUGUUGCCUCGGCGGAUCAGCCCGCGCCCCGUAAAWCGGGACGGCCCGCCAGAGGACCCAAACUCUAAUGUUUCUUAUUGUAACUUCUGAGUAAAACAAACAAAUAAAUCAAAACUUUCAACAACGGAUCUCUUGGUUCUGGCAUCGAUGAAGAACGCAGCAAAAUGCGAUAAGUAAUGUGAAUUGCAGAAUUCAGUGAAUCAUCGAAUCUUUGAACGCACAUUGCGCCCGCUGGUAUUCCGGCGGGCAUGCCUGUUCGAGCGUCAUUUCAACCCUCAAGCCCCCGGGUUUGGUGUUGGGGAUCGGCUCUGCCCUUCUGGGCGGUGCCGCCCCCGAAAUACAUUGGCGGUCUCGCUGCAGCCUCCAUUGCGUAGUAGCUAACACCUCGCAAMUGGAACGCGGCGCGGCCAUGCCGUAAAACCCCAACUUCUGAAUGUUGACCUCGGAUCAGGUAGGAAUACCCGCUGAACUUAAGCAUAUCAAUAAGCGGAGG
This 561-nucleotide ribosomal RNA is filed under the name Fusarium sp. E-000535632. RNAcentral describes it as "eukaryotic LSU rRNA". The stretch from base 181 to 334 matches the Rfam family "5.8S ribosomal RNA". Lineage: Eukaryota; Fungi; Ascomycota; Sordariomycetes; Hypocreales; Nectriaceae. The record is from RNAcentral.